This 1857-nucleotide ribosomal RNA is filed under the name Aphelosternus interstitialis. RNAcentral's name for it is "SSU rRNA". It matches the Rfam family "Eukaryotic small subunit ribosomal RNA". The record is from RNAcentral. Lineage: Eukaryota; Metazoa; Arthropoda; Insecta; Coleoptera; Histeridae.
CAUGUCUCAGUACAAGCCAAAUUAAGGUGAAACCGCGAAAGGCUCAUUAAAUCAGUUAUGGUUCCUUAGAUCGUACCACGCAAUUACUUGGAUACCUGUGGUAAUUCUAGAGCUAAUACAUGCUAACAGAGUCCCGACCGGAGACGGAAGGGGCGCUUUUAUUAGAUCAAAACCAAUCGGCGGCGAGCCUUCGCGGGUCCGUCGCCGUACGUCUUGAUGAAACUGAAUAACUUUUUGCUGAUCGCACGGUCUCGCACCGGCGACGCAUCUUUCAAAUGUCUGACUUAUCAACUGUCGAUGGUAGGUUCUGCGCCUACCAUGGUUGUAACGGGUAACGGGGAAUCAGGGUUCGAUUCCGGAGAGGGAGCCUGAGAAACGGCUACCACAUCCAAGGAAGGCAGCAGGCGCGCAAAUUACCCACUCCCGGCACGGGGAGGUAGUGACGAAAAAUAACGAUACGGGACUCAUCCGAGGCCCCGUAAUCGGAAUGAGAACACUUUAAAUCCUUUCACGAGGAUCAAUUGGAGGGCAAGUCUGGUGCCAGCAGCCGCGGUAAUUCCAGCUCCAAUAGCGUAUAUUAAAGUUGUUGCGGUUAAAAAGCUCGUAGUCGAAUCUGUGUCGCGCGCCGCCGGUUCAUAGCUCGCUGUGUCAAUUGGCGUGUCGCGCGACGUCCUGCCGGUGGACUUAGCUUCGGCCCGUUCGCGCGCGGUCGAGGCGGUCCAAGUUUUACAUCCCGCCGCGGUGCUCUUCGCUGAGUGUCGAGGUGGGCCGGCACGUUUACUUUGAACAAAUUAAAGUGCUUAAAGCAGGCUAAAAGUUUGCCUGAAUAUUGUAUGCAUGGAAUAAUGGAAUAGGACCUCGGUUCUAUUUUGUUGGUUUUCGGAACCCCGAGGUAAUGAUUAAUAGGAACGGAUGGGGGCAUUCGUAUUGCGACGUUAGAGGUGAAAUUCUUGGAUCGUCGCAAGACGAACUAAGCGAAAGCAUUUGCCAAAAACGCUUUCAUUGAUCAAGAACGAAAGUUAGAGGUUCGAAGGCGAUCAGAUACCGCCCUAGUUCUAACCAUAAACGAUGCCAGCUAGCGAUCCGCCGACGUUCCUCCGAUGACUCGGCGGGCAGCUUCCGGGAAACCAAAGCUUUUGGGUUCCGGGGGAAGUAUGGUUGCAAAGCUGAAACUUAAAGGAAUUGACGGAAGGGCACCACCAGGAGUGGAGCCUGCGGCUUAAUUUGACUCAACACGGGAAAACUCACCAGGCCCGGACACCGGAAGGAUUGACAGAUUGAGAGCUCUUUCUUGAUUCGGUGGGUGGUGGUGCAUGGCCGUUCUUAGUUGGUGGAGCGAUUUGUCUGGUUAAUUCCGAUAACGAACGAGACUCUAGCCUGCUAAAUAGGCGUAUGAUCGACAUCUUAAAGGCCCGCGUCGGGCCGUUCGGGCGGUUCGCGCCGUCCGUCGGUCCAGGCGCGCGGUUUUUACUGUCGGCGUAAAUUAAAAUCUUCUUAGAGGGACAGGCGGCUUCUAGCCGCACGAGAUUGAGCAAUAACAGGUCUGUGAUGCCCUUAGAUGUCCUGGGCCGCACGCGCGCUACACUGAAGGAAUCAGCGUGUCUUCCCUGGCCGAGAGGCCCGGGUAACCCGCUGAACCUCCUUCGUGCUAGGGAUUGGGGCUUGCAAUUGUACCCCAUGAACGAGGAAUUCCCAGUAAGCGCGAGUCAUAAGCUGGCGUUGAUUACGUCCCUGCCCUUUGUACACACCGCCCGUCGCUACUACCGAUUGAAUGAUUUAGUGAGGUCUUCGGACAGGUGCGCGGCGACGUUUCGACGUGGCCGAUGUUGCCGGGAAGAUGACCGAACUUGAUCAUUU